GACGUAGGAUGCAAGCGUUGUCCGGAUUUAUUGGGCGUAAAGAGUUCGUAGGUGGUUUGUUAAGUCUGAUGUUAAAGACUGGGGCUCAACCUCGGAAAUGCAUUGGAUACUGGCAGACUUGAGUGUGGUAGAGGCAAUGGGAAUUCCAGGUGUAGCGGUGAAAUGCGUAGAUAUCUGGAAGAACACCGGUGGCGCAAGCGGAUUGCUGGGCCAUAACUGACACUGAGGAACGAAAGCCAGGGGAGCGAACGGG
This 253-nucleotide ribosomal RNA is filed under the name uncultured bacterium. Its description in RNAcentral is "partial 16S ribosomal RNA". It matches the Rfam family "Bacterial small subunit ribosomal RNA", at positions 524 to 776 of the family's 1533-position model. The record is from RNAcentral.